Molecule: ribosomal RNA, 253 nt
Filed under: uncultured bacterium
Lineage: Bacteria
Description: partial 16S ribosomal RNA
Rfam family: Bacterial small subunit ribosomal RNA
Source: RNAcentral
UACGAAGGGGGCUAGCGUUGCUCGGAAUCACUGGGCGUAAAGGGUGCGUAGGCGGGUCUUUAAGUCAGGGGUGAAAUCCUGGAGCUCAACUCCAGAACUGCCUUCGAUACUGAGGAUCUUGAGUUCGGGAGAGGUGAGUGGAACUGCGAGUGUAGAGGUGAAAUUCGUAGAUAUUCGCAAGAACACCAGUGGCGAAGGCGGCUCACUGGCCCGAUACUGACGCUGAGGAGCGAAAGUGUGGGGAGCAAACAGG